RNAcentral lists this ribosomal RNA (380 nucleotides) under uncultured eukaryote. RNAcentral describes it as "partial 18S ribosomal RNA". It matches the Rfam family "Eukaryotic small subunit ribosomal RNA", at positions 592 to 976 of the family's 1831-position model. The record is from RNAcentral.
CAAUAGCGUAUAUUAAAGUUGUUGCGGUUAAAAAGCUCGUAGUUGGAUUUCUGCUGAGAACGACCGGUCCGCCCUUUGGGUGUGUAUCUGGCUCUUUCUUGGCAUCUUCUUGGUGAACGUUGCUGCACUUGACUGUGUGGAGCGCUACCCAGGACUUUUACUUUGAGGAAAUUAGAGUGUUUCAAGCAGGCAUACGCCUUGAAUACAUUAGCAUGGAAUAAUAAGAUAGGACCUCGGUUCUAUUUUGUUGGUUUCUAGAGCUGAGGUAAUGAUUAAUAGGGAUAGUUGGGGGCAUUCGUAUUUAACUGUCAGAAGUGAAAUUCUUGGAUUUGUUAAAGACGGACUACUGCGAAAGCAUUUGCCAAGGAUGUUUUCAUUGA